GAUCAUUAUUGAAAUAAACCUGAUGAGUUGUUGCUGGCUCUCUAGGGAGCAUGUGCACACUUGUCAUCUUUGUAUCUUCACCUGUGCACCUUUUGUAGACCUUGGGUAUCUAUCUGAUUGCUUUAGCACUCAGGAUUGAGGAUUGACUUCUUGUCUCUUCUUACAUUUCCAGGUCUAUGUUUCUUAAUAUACCCUAAUGUAUGUUUAUAGAAUGUAAUUAAUGGGCCUUUGUGCCUAUAAAUCUAUACAACUUUCAGCAACGGAUCUCUUGGCUCUCGCAUCGAUGAAGAACGCAGCGAAAUGCGAUAAGUAAUGUGAAUUGCAGAAUUCAGUGAAUCAUCGAAUCUUUGAACGCACCUUGCGCUCCUUGGUAUUCCGAGGAGCAUGCCUGUUUGAGUGUCAUUAAUAUAUCAACCUCUUUGGUUGGAUGUGGGGGUUUGCUGGCCACUUGAGGUCAGCUCCUCUUAAAUGCAUUAGCGGACAACAUUUUGCUAAACGUUCAUUGGUGUGAUAAUUAUCUACGCUCUUGACGUGAAGCAGGUUCAGCUUCUAACAGUCCAUUGACUUGGAUAAAUUUUUUUCUAUCAAUGUGACCUCAAAUCAG
Molecule: unclassified non-coding RNA, 604 nt
Filed under: Cortinarius prodigiosus
Lineage: Eukaryota; Fungi; Basidiomycota; Agaricomycetes; Agaricales; Cortinariaceae
Description: sequence contains 18S rRNA gene, ITS1, 5.8S rRNA gene and ITS2
Rfam family: 5.8S ribosomal RNA (bases 249-402)
Source: RNAcentral